RNAcentral lists this unclassified non-coding RNA (391 nucleotides) under soil metagenome. RNAcentral describes it as "partial contains 5.8S ribosomal RNA, internal transcribed spacer 2, and large subunit ribosomal RNA". The stretch from base 1 to 122 matches the Rfam family "5.8S ribosomal RNA", at positions 35 to 154 of the family's 154-position model. The record is from RNAcentral.
GAUGAAGAACGCAGCGAAAUGCGAUACUUGGUGUGAAUUGCAGAAUCCCGUGAACCAUCGAGUUUUUGAACGCAAGUUGCGCCCGAAGCCAUUAGGCCGAGGGCACGCCUGCCUGGGCGUCACACGUCGUUGCCCCCCCAUCUACUCCUUCGGGAUUGCGGGGGGCGGAUGAUGGCCUCCCGUGCGCCUCGUCGCGCGGUUGGCAUAAAUACCAAGUCCUCGGCGACGCACGCCACGACAAUCGGUGGUUGCGAAACCUCGGUUGCCCGUCGUGUGCGGUCGUCGCGCAUCGAGGGCUCGAAAAAAUUGCCGGGCUCCGGCUCGGCUUUCAACGCGACCCCAGGUCAGGCGGGGUUACCCGCUGAAUUUAAGCAUAUCAAUAAGCGGAGGA